UUUUCCUGCGCCGCUUGUGCCUCGGAUCAACAUGACUGGGGAACGGGUGAGUAGCACGUGGGUAACCUGCCCAUCAGAAGGGGAUAACACUUGGAAACAGGUGCUAAUACCGUAUAACAAUCAAAACCGCAUGGUUUUGAUUUGAAAGGCGCUUUCGGGUGUCGCUGAUGGAUGGACCCGCGGUGCAUUACCUAUUUGGUGAGGUAACGGCUCACCACUGCCACGAUGCAUAACCGACCUGAAAGGGUGAUCGGCCACAUUGGGACUGAGACACGGCCCAAACUCCUACGGCAGGCAGCAGUAGGGAAUCUUCCACCAUGGACAAUGGACA
Molecule: ribosomal RNA, 331 nt
Filed under: Enterococcus faecium
Lineage: Bacteria; Bacillati; Bacillota; Bacilli; Lactobacillales; Enterococcaceae
Description: bacterial SSU rRNA
Rfam family: Bacterial small subunit ribosomal RNA
Source: RNAcentral